AUUGAACGCUGGCGGCAGGCCUAACACAUGCAAGUCGAGCGGAUGAAGGGAGCUUGCUCCUGGAUUCAGCGGCGGACGGGUGAGUAAUGCCUAGGAAUCUGCCUGGUAGUGGGGGAUAAUGUCCGGAAACGGGCGCUAAUACCGCAUACGUCCUUAGGGAGAAAGUGGGGGAUCUUCGGACCUCACGCUAUCAGAUGAGCCUAGGUCGGAUUAGCUAGUUGGUGGGGUAAAGGCCUACCAAGGCGACGAUCCGUAACUGGUCUGAGAGGAUGAUCAGUCACACUGGAACUGAGACACGGUCCAGACUCCUACGGGAGGCAGCAGUGGGGAAUAUUGGACAAUGGGCGAAAGCCUGAUCCAGCCAUGCCGCGUGUGUGAAGAAGGUCUUCGGAUUGUAAAGCACUUUAAGUUGGGAGGAAGGGCAGUAAGUUAAUACCUUGCUGUUUUGACGUUACCAACAGAAUAAGCACCGGCUAACUUCGUG
RNAcentral lists this ribosomal RNA (484 nucleotides) under uncultured bacterium. Its description in RNAcentral is "partial 16S ribosomal RNA". It matches the Rfam family "Bacterial small subunit ribosomal RNA", at positions 30 to 507 of the family's 1533-position model. The record is from RNAcentral.